RNAcentral lists this ribosomal RNA (497 nucleotides) under uncultured bacterium. RNAcentral describes it as "partial 16S ribosomal RNA". It matches the Rfam family "Bacterial small subunit ribosomal RNA", at positions 28 to 507 of the family's 1533-position model. The record is from RNAcentral.
GAUGAACGCUGGCGGCGUGCCUAAUACAUGCAAGUCGAGCGAACAGACGAGGAGCUUGCUCCUCUGACGUUAGCGGCGGACGGGUGAGUAACACGUGGAUAACCUACCUAUAAGACUGGGAUAACUUCGGGAAACCGGAGCUAAUACCGGAUAAUAUAUUGAACCGCAUGGUUCAAUAGUUAAAGACGGUUUUGCGGUCACUUAUAGAUGGAUCCGCGCCGCAUUAGCUAGUUGGUAAGGUAACGGCUUACCAAGGCAACGAUGCGUAGCCGACCUGAGAGGGUGAUCGGCCCCACUGGAACUGAGACACGGUCCAGACUCCUACGGGAGGCAGCAGUAGGGAAUCUUCCGCAAUGGGCGAGAGCCUAACGGAGCAACGCCGCGUGAGUGAUGAAGGUCUUCGGAUCGUAAAACUCUGUUAUUAGGGAAGAACAAAUGUGUAAGUAACUAUGCACGUCUUGACGGUACCUAAUCAGAAAGCCACGGCUAACUACGUG